RNAcentral lists this ribosomal RNA (468 nucleotides) under uncultured bacterium. RNAcentral's name for it is "partial 16S ribosomal RNA". It matches the Rfam family "Bacterial small subunit ribosomal RNA", at positions 28 to 507 of the family's 1533-position model. The record is from RNAcentral.
GACGAACGCUGGCGGCGUGCUUAACACAUGCAAGUCGAACGGAAAGGCCCUGCUUUUGUGGGGUGCUCGAGUGGCGAACGGGUGAGUAACACGUGAGUAACCUGCCCUUGACUUUGGGAUAACUUCAGGAAACUGGGGCUAAUACAGGAUAGGAGCCCCCGCUGCAUGGUGGGGGUUGGAAAGUUUCGGCGGUUGGGGAUGGACUCGCGGCUUAUCAGCUUGUUGGUGGGGUAGUGGCUUACCAAGGCUUUGACGGGUAGCCGGCCUGAGAGGGUGACCGGCCACAUUAGGACUGAGAUACGGCCCAGACUCCUACGGGAGGCAGCAGUGGGGAGUAUUGCACAAUGGGCGGGAGCCUGAUGCAGCGACGCCGCGUGCGGGAUGACGGCCUUCGGGUUGUAAACCGCAUUCGCCUGUUACGAAGCGUGAGUGACGGUAAUGAAUAAAGAAGCACCGGCUAACUACGUG